Molecule: ribosomal RNA, 253 nt
Filed under: uncultured bacterium
Lineage: Bacteria
Description: partial 16S ribosomal RNA
Rfam family: Bacterial small subunit ribosomal RNA
Source: RNAcentral
UACGUAGGGAGCAAGCGUUGUUCGGAUUUACUGGGCGUAAAGGGCGCGUAGGCGGCGCGGUAAGUCACUUGUGAAAUCUCUGAGCUUAACUCAGAACGGCCAAGUGAUACUGCAGUGCUAGAGUGCAGAAGGGGCAAUCGGAAUUCUUGGUGUAGCGGUGAAAUGCGUAGAUAUCGGGAGGAACACCAGUGGCGAAGGCGGCUGCCUGGGCCAGUUCUGACGCUGAGGCGCGAAAGCGUGGGGAGCAAACAGG